AUUGAACGCUGGCGGCAUGCCUUACACAUGCAAGUCGAACGGUAACAGGUUAAGCUGACGAGUGGCGAACGGGUGAGUAAUGUAUCGGAACGUGCCCAGUCGUGGGGGAUAACUGCUCGAAAGAGCAGCUAAUACCGCAUACGACCUGAGGGUGAAAGCGGUGGAUCGCAAGACCUCGCGCGAUUGGAGUGGCCGAUAUCAGAUUAGGUAGUUGGUGAGGUAAAGGCUCACCAAGCCGACGAUCUGUAGCUGGUCUGAGAGGACGACCAGCCACACUGGGACUGAGACACGGCCCAGACUCCUACGGGAGGCAGCAGUGGGGAAUUUUGGACAAUGGGCGCAAGCCUGAUCCAGCCAUGCCGCGUGCGGGAAGAAGGCCUUCGGGUUGUAAACCGCUUUUGUCAGGGAAAAAAAGGUUCUGGCUAAUACCUGGGACUCAUGACGGUACCUGAAGAAUAAGCACCGGCUAACUACGUG
This 477-nucleotide ribosomal RNA is filed under the name uncultured bacterium. RNAcentral describes it as "partial 16S ribosomal RNA". It matches the Rfam family "Bacterial small subunit ribosomal RNA", at positions 30 to 507 of the family's 1533-position model. The record is from RNAcentral.